Molecule: long non-coding RNA, 2312 nt
Filed under: Malus domestica (apple)
Lineage: Eukaryota; Viridiplantae; Streptophyta; Magnoliopsida; Rosales; Rosaceae
Description: long non-coding RNA (MDOM_LNC005692)
Source: RNAcentral
GCCAUCUCAAAUGUUGUAGAUGUAGUUCAUAUGAGCAUGAAUAUUGGAGCUAAAAUUUGGUGCCAUUUUUUUGGAAAAUUCGGCCAAAUCCAAAGGGUGGAUUUUUGGGUUCAUGUUUGACUUGUUAAAAGUGUUUUCAAGUAACUUUUGGAACCCUUAUGUACCCUAGUUUGGUUAUAUGUUAUUUCCCUUAAGUUUGAGUGGUUUUGGGAUGUCUUUGGGUGAAAAAUGUUCAUGGAGCUUUUAUGGAUUUUUCAUGAAUGUUCUUCAUUGUUCUUGAUGUUUUAGCCAAGAACAAAAAGGUUUGAUGUUUUGAUUCAAAGUUUUGAUUUAUUUCAUAAAGUCUUUGUUUUGUGUUGGUAGGUGUGACUUAUCUAUCAACAAAACAUUUAAUGAAAUUUUUGAAAGGUGAUAGAAAUGGUGAUGGGUGUGUAAGAAGUACUUCUCUUACACACACACACCACUUGCAUGGCUUUAUUCACACCAACCUAUUUCCACUUGCAUGGCUUUAUGACUUAGUUGAAAAAUUUUCAAAAUUUUUGUGGUUUCACUCUCCAAAACCGGCCACCCUACAAGUGGGGUGUUUUUGGGGCUUUUAUGCAAUUACAUAAAGUUUUGAUACUUUUGUGUAUUUGUAGUUUGACCCAAAAGUUUACGUAUUUACGUAAAGGCCCAAAAUCAUUAAAGGACAAAUUGUUUUGUUCCUUUAAUGAAGUUUUUGAAUUUGAUGAAAUUUUUGGGUUCUAGUUGUAAUUACAUAAAGUAAUGGACUUUUUUGUUUUUACAAAAUGAGCUCAAAAGUUUAAGUUUUGCAACAUAGCCCAAAAAGUUGGAGUUAUUGCAUUUUGGCCCAAAUUAGGUUGAGAACAAAAUGGUUUUGUCUCUUUAAAUGAGAAUUGGAUUUUCAUUUCAUUUAGCUCCAUUUAAAUCAAUUCUAUGGAUACAAAAACCAAAUGACAAUGUUGCAUUCAAAGUUUAAUUAGUUAAAGCGUUAAUUAAUUAAAGGGUGAUUAUGAACCUAAGUCUACGAUAAUUGAGCUAUGUGAAAUGCCAUUUCAAAUUUGUUUGAACCAUGGGAAUGUGUAGAUUAGAUUUUGGUUGUAAUUUGAUUUGAUCAAAUGUUGUAAAAGAGCAUAAGCUCUUCUUUACUUUAAAGUAAUUUGUAUUAAUCAAAUGUUGUAAAGAGCAUAAGCUCAUCUUUACUUUGAAGUACUCAUUUCUUGUUUUAUUUGAUAUGCAUGUAAUUGGAGUAGUUGGGUCCAACGCCCAAUAGGAAAAACACGCCUUAAUAUGAUUAAACGCGUAACUAAAAUCAAUCACCAUCCCUAGACCGAGAUUCAACACUAGGCUAGUGUUGGAUCUAAUCAAAGGUUCAUAGUCAUCCUAAGGCCCUAAGGCAACUAUAUAGUCCAUCAAUGAAUGCAAACCUUAUGUUAGCAGUACCAUAUACUCUUGCUUUAAAAACCGUUUUACAAGCAUAGUGGGAGUAUCAUGUACAACUAAAUCCAUCACAUGGACCAAUAGUUGUAAUAGGACCAAAUUGUUUUAAUAAGAUUAAAAUGCAUGCUUAUAUGUGAUGAGACCUAAAACCCUCAACCAAACCAUUAUUAAGCUGAAAAGCGUGAGAGUGCUUUGAACACUCUUUCGUGGCCUUCCACCGUGGUAGGUUUCGAUCGUUUGUGACUCGUACACCGACUUCACCCUAUCAUGGGGUAGUACAAAGUGCGUGCUUACACUCAGGAUGAAUCCUAUACGCAUACAUGAUGUUGUGAAGGUAGGCAACCAGAAUGAUCAACAUCAUAUCAUUGUGAGGUUGUUCUUGAACCCCUACCCGAACUUGCAUGGUGGGAAUGACUUAACUAAGUGCAAUGGAGCCAACAUCAUAUCAUUGUGAGGCUUCAUUCUCUAGAGGCCAAAUAAGAUGGGUACUUGCAAGAGAUGCAAAUGAGUAAGUGUACUCUCUCAUUAUUAUUGAUGCUAGCCAACAUCAUAUCAUUGUGAGGUGGGCUUGGUAAUAGUGAGUCUCCCAUACCCUACUAAGAGUUUCCUCCAAAAUUCUCGAAUUCCAAUGAGGGAUAUGGAAUUUGCCAAAAAUAGUGGGUGGUGCUAUUUGAUUUAAAGACCCAAAUUAAAUGGCUUAAAAUCAAUCAAUUUAUAUUCGUUAUGUAUUUGUUUACCAAUAUAUUUGCAAACGCUAUCCAAAACUUGACUAAGAAAAGCCGAAUGCUUUAGUUUCCGGACUUGAUACCACAAUCCCAAAGAUUGUCUUAAAUGGAUUGUAUAUGUACCUAAGUAGUCUAAUCCUCACAAUC